RNAcentral lists this ribosomal RNA (467 nucleotides) under Veillonella atypica. Its description in RNAcentral is "bacterial SSU rRNA". It matches the Rfam family "Bacterial small subunit ribosomal RNA", at positions 28 to 472 of the family's 1533-position model. The record is from RNAcentral. Lineage: Bacteria; Bacillati; Bacillota; Negativicutes; Veillonellales; Veillonellaceae.
GACGAACGCUGGCGGCGUGCUUAACACAUGCAAGUCGAACGAAGAGAGAUGGAAGCUUGCUUCUAUCAAUCUUAGUGGCGAACGGGUGAGUAACGCGUAAUCAACCUGCCCUUCAGAGGGGGACAACAGUUGGAAACGACUGCUAAUACCGCAUACGAUCCAAUCUCGGCAUCGAGAGUGGAUGAAAGGUGGCCUCUAUUAAUAAGCUAUCACUGAAGGAGGGGAUUGCGUCUGAUUAGCUAGUUGGAGGGGUAACGGCCCACCAAGGCGAUGAUCAGUAGCCGGUCUGAGAGGAUGAACGGCCACAUUGGGACUGAGACACGGCCCAGACUCCUACGGGAGGCAGCAGUGGGGAAUCUUCCGCAAUGGACGAAAGUCUGACGGAGCAACGCCGCGUGAGUGAUGACGGCCUUCGGGUUGUAAAGCUCUGUUAAUCGGGACGAAGGUUCUUGUGCGAAUAGUGCGAG